GACGAACGCUGUCGGCGUGCUUAACACAUGCAAGUCGAACGGAAAGGCCCUGCUUUUGUGGGGUGCUCGAGCGGCGAACGGGUGAGUAACACGUGAGUAACCUGCCCUUGACUUUGGGAUAACUUCAGGAAACUGGGGCUAAUACCGGAUAGGAGCUCCUGCUGCAUGGUGGGGGUUGGAAAGUUUCGGCGGUUGGGGAUGGACUCGCGGCUUAUCAGCUUGUUGGUGGGGUAGUGGCUUACCAAGGCUUUGACGGGUAGCCGGCCUGAGAGGGUGACCGGCCACAUUGGGACUGAGAUACGGCCCAGACUCCUACGGGAGGCAGCAGUGGGGAAUAUUGCACAAUGGGCGGAAGCCUGAUGCAGCAACGCCGCGUGCGGGAUGACGGCCUUCGGGUUGUAAACCGCUUUCGCCUGUGACGAAGCGUGAGUGACGGUAAUGGGUAAAGAAGCACCGGCUAACUACGUGCCAGCAGCCGCGGUGAUACGUAGGGUGCGAGCGUUGUCCGGAUUUAUUGGGCGUAAAGGGCUCGUAGGUGGUUGAUCGCGUCGGAAGUGUAAUCUUGGGGCUUAACCCUGAGCGUGCUUUCGAUACGGGUUGACUUGAGGAAGGUAGGGGAGAAUGGAAUUCCUGGUGGAGCGGUGGAAUGCGCAGAUAUCAGGAGGAACACCAGUGGCGAAGGCGGUUCUCUGGGCCUUUCCUGACGCUGAGGAGCGAAAGCGUGGGGAGCGAACAGGCUUAGAUACCCUGGUAGUCCACGCUGUAAACGGUGGGUACUAGGUGUGGGGUCCAUUCCACGGGUUCCGUGCCGUAGCUAACGCUUUAAGUACCCCGCCUGGGGAGUACGGCCGCAAGGCUAAAACUCAAAGGAAUUGACGGGGCCCCGCACAAGCGGCGGAGCAUGCGGAUUAAUUCGAUGCAACGCGUAGAACCUUACCUGGGUUUGACAUGGAUCGGGAGUGCUCAGAGAUGGGUGUGCCUCUUUUGGGGUCGGUUCACAGGUGGUGCAUGGCUGUCGUCAGCUCGUGUCGUGAGAUGUUGGGUUAAGUCCCGCAACGAGCGCAACCCUUGUUCACUGUUGCCAGCACGUUAUGGUGGGGACUCAGUGGAGACCGCCGGGGUCAACUCGGAGGAAGGUGGGGAUGACGUCAAGUCAUCAUGCCCCUUAUGUCCAGGGCUUCACGCAUGCUACAAUGGCUGGUACAGAGAGUGGCGAGCCUGUGAGGGUGAGCGAAUCUCGGAAAGCCGGUCUCAGUUCGGAUUGGGGUCUGCAACUCGACCUCAUGAAGUCGGAGUCGCUAGUAAUCGCAGAUCAGCAACGCUGCGGUGAAUACGUUCCCGGG
RNAcentral lists this ribosomal RNA (1343 nucleotides) under uncultured bacterium. RNAcentral describes it as "16S ribosomal RNA". It matches the Rfam family "Bacterial small subunit ribosomal RNA", at positions 28 to 1378 of the family's 1533-position model. The record is from RNAcentral.